GGUGUUUAGAGCAAUUCAAGACAAUGCAGAACGACGACAAACUUCCAUGUCAAUAAUGAAUGAAAAUCUGAAUGAAACUCAUUUUUUAUUAAAACGAUAAAGAAAUUCUUUAUAAUCCUUCGUUUUCAACACAGAUCAUUAUAUCUUCAACAAAUCCUUUUUCAGUUUAAUUCAUUCCGUCUUUGGAAUGACCAUCUGAGAUUGUUUUACCAUAAUGAGGUGCGAUUAUUCGGGGAACAAUAAUAAAUACUCCACUUUGUGUAGUUUUAUCAUUUAUUGGGGUUAGAUACCCUUAAGCAUUAUCAGAAUUGUAGAUUUUUAUUUAGGAAAGAAAGCAUUAAUGUUCAAGGUCUUCGUAACUCUCGAGGAAUAAAUGAGGCUUUAUUUAUUCAAUCUGAUUUUUAGCACUCGCUUUGCUCAGAAAUUUCAAUAAAUCUAUUCCUGUUUUCUGUCAUACAAUGAAAUUCAAAAUAGUCUUUUACAAACAAAUGUAAUCAUUUCAAUAGCAUUUCUUCAUACCAACGAUUUUCAGAAACCUGGAUUUCGUCACACCGUCACACCUUGAUUUUGUGGUGUUCCAGGUUUAUCAGAUAAAAGGCUUCAGUUGUUCGGAAAUACUUGAAAUAUUCGUCUCAUUCAACGUGACUUCCUAAUCUUCUACUGUUUGACUGCUCUUUGGUCCUUGGCUCUGACGUCAUAUAUGAACCCAUACAAUGGUUGCGUCAUUAUAUUUCUUGGUAAUCAUGCUAGCACAACACCCAUGCGGCCAUAUCGCAUGGCAUAGAAUAUUGUAUGGGUAUAUAUACGCAUGGAUAUGGGGAUUCAAUCGUCAGUUGUAAAUUGAUUCGCCACUGGCAACGAUUGUCUCGUCGACUAGCAACUCCCGGUAGACAGGAAGAUGAAGACCUCACUCGUGGUUGCCGUCGUUUUGUUCACAUUGCAUGCAUGCUCCAAUAUCGCGUAUGCUGAUCCACUUGUCGCCUGUCCUGGCGAAGUCUCUAAAGGCUGUCCCUAUCCCCAAGGGCUAUUCCCCGUCUAUUUCUCUCAUCCAAAUGACUGCUCAAAGUUCUGUGAGUGUGGCAUGGAGGCCAUAGCCUGGGAAGUCUCUUGUAUCCCUGGCCUACUCUGGAACGAAGAUGUGCACGCCUGCGACUGGGCUGCUAACGUUGAUUGUGGCGAUAGAAGAAGGCCAUGAGUAACUACACUUCAAAUCUUUAUAACGGCCUACCUUCAGGAGAGGCGGUUAUCGUGAGAAGAAAUCGAGAUAGCCAGACAUCCAGUUCUCCAUCAAAAUCUUGAUUCAUUGUAAAGCCUUUCAUUGCCAAGAGAGGUUGUCCUUCUCUAUUGUAUUUAUCCAUACGUAGUUUGCAAAUUAAUUUCUUCCAAGUUCUUUAAUAAUGUAUCAGAAUCGAGUAAGGUACUAUAUACGUAUUAUCAAUUUCAUUCCUUUUAUAGGAAAUUUAGUUCUGUAUUUCGUGCAUAAUUCCUUGGUGACUGGUUUUGUAUAAGAUCAUUUCCAUUUAAUGCAUCUUGACUGGUGUGCGUAUUUUCAGCGCAUCUAAUUCAAGAAUAGGAAAAUAAUUGGAACUGUUUACUUUCGAAGUUCACUUUUCAACUUCAAUUAUAUCUUUCCCUUUUCUAUCAUUUUUCUUUUUUACCCAAAAAUGUAUCGUUUUAUCUUUACGAACGGGUUACUUCUUCACGAUUUUUCUUAAAUUCAGUUAGGUGAAAUUUCACCUCACUAACCUUAUAUAAACAAAGUUUUCUAUACAAUUACCUAAAGAAACCCGUAUAAUAAAAACUAACUCAAUGUUACAAGUAUUUACAUUUCUGUUGCAUAUGCAUCAAGUAUACCAGAGAAUAUAUAAAACUAGUCUUAUAAUUGUUGCUAAUAAUUUAUCACAGCAAUAACAUCGUAUGUUCAGUUCAGUGAUCGAAUUUUAUUUAGUGUGUGAAUAACGAAUUAGACAGCGUUGAAAGACUAUUUAGAAAAUGAGUAUUAGAUCUCAAAGAAACUGAUUAGAUGAACGCUCACAAUACUGAGGCAAUUGCUUAAGGAAUUAGUCUGUUGCAAAGUCUCCAGUCAUUUGAAUCGUAAGAUGAUGACUCAUCACCACAUUUACUUCGUAAAAGAUUCUUAAAACACAUACAUAUGUUCAGUUUGGUAUUGAUAAAAAUGGCAAAACCCCUUGAUAACGAUAAUCCAGAGGAGUAUAAAUGAUUUACGGUAAUGUAAUAUAAGUGAUAAGGGGUAAACUACUCGACAAUACUAAUCCAGGAGGAUAUAAGAGACUGAUAUGCAUAUCCAUUAUAGCCUCAACUGCGGAGACGGGGAGCUGACUUCUUGUGUUAAGUGAUGUCAUGGAUUUGGUCUUAAUCACGGCCGGGUAACAAAUUCGUUUUCUUAAUAACGAGAAAAAUAUUCGGUUUUAGAUCAGGAUGUGAGCAGAGACAUAUGAUCCUUCCAGCCUCGCCCUAUAUUGAAUAAAUAUCGUCCCGCUACACAAUGAUGUUAGGAAUAUGCCGUCACAAGUUAACGAGGAUCCACAAACACAGCCUGCACAUACACUACAAACUUCGUAUCCUAUUUUCGCCAUUCGAAAACCUCUCUACUUAACAAAUAAGAAACAAACAACUAUAGGCAUAAAAAAAUUCAGGCCAUCAAAUAAUAACGAGAUAGUCCGGUUAUAAUUAAAUAUGGAGUGUUGUUCCUUUAAGUUUAUUUGCUGCCCUAUCAUCUUUAUUAUACCCGUUGCUUUUAAUAUAGCUUUUAUGAACCUGUUAACCCAUAGCAUUUAACUAAUAAGAUUUAAUACCAUAAAAGAACUGGAUCUGUUAGCUAGUACAAAACUCCUUACUGCAUAAUAAUUAAGUUUAGCCUUACGAAUUUCAAAGCUUGACAAAUACCUAUUCAUAUGUUGAUACUUUGGUUUAUCAUUAUUCCACUUUACAGUGUUUAAAUAUUUCGUGUUAUUAUUAUUAUAAAUGUUCUUUGUUUGCAAUAAUGGAUUGAUAUAAAAUUGAAUAUUAAUAGCUUCUACGAAAAUGUUAAGUUUCUGUAAA
This is a long non-coding RNA of Macrobrachium nipponense, 3063 nucleotides long. RefSeq lists it as uncharacterized. Lineage: Eukaryota; Metazoa; Arthropoda; Malacostraca; Decapoda; Palaemonidae. The transcript has 3 exons. The record is from RefSeq and is a predicted model, not a curated record.